UACGGAAGGCAGCAGUGGGGAAUAUUGCACAAUGGGCGAAAGCCUGAUGCAGCUAUGCCGCGUGUAUGAAGAAGGCCUUAGGGUUGUAAAGUACUUUCAUCGGGGAGGAAAAAACAAACUAAUAAUUUUAUUUCUUGACGUUACCCGAAAAAGAAGCACCGGCUAACUCCGUGCCAGCAGCCGCGGUAAUACGGAGGGUGCUAGCGUUAAUCAGAAUUACUGGGCGUAAAGAGCACGUAGGUGGCUUUUUUAAGUCAGAUGUGAGAUCCCUGGGCUUAACCUAGGAACUGCAUUUUGAAACUGAAAUACUAGAGUAUCGUAGAGGGAGGUAGAAUUCUAGGUGUAGCGGUGAAAUGCGUAGAUAUCUGGAGGAAUACCUGUGGCGAAAGCGGCCUCCUAAACGAAUACUGACACUGAGGUGCGAAAGCGUGGGGAGCAAACAGGGAUAGAUACC
Molecule: ribosomal RNA, 454 nt
Filed under: uncultured bacterium
Lineage: Bacteria
Description: bacterial SSU rRNA
Rfam family: Bacterial small subunit ribosomal RNA
Source: RNAcentral